AGCUCCAAUAGCGUAUAUUAAAGUUGUUGCAGUUAAAAAGCUCGUAGUUGAAUUUCUGUUAAGACGACCUUGUGGUACUAAGUGUCAUUUGUGUCGUUUCAACAUUUUCCCUGUGGCCGCGCUUCAUUGUGUGAGCUUCGGGAAGUUUUACUUUGAGAAAAAUAGAGUGUUUCAAGCAGGCUGUGCCUUGAAUACUGCAGCAUGGAAUAAUGAUAUAGACCUACGUUCCUAUUUCGUUGGUUUGAGGGAUGAGUGAUGAUUAAUAGGGGUAGUUGGGGGCAUUUGUAUUCGACUGUCAGAGGUGAAAUUCUUAGAUUUGUCGAAGACAGACAACUGCGAAAGCAUUUGCCAAGGAUAUUCUCA
Molecule: ribosomal RNA, 363 nt
Filed under: uncultured eukaryote
Lineage: Eukaryota
Description: SSU rRNA
Rfam family: Eukaryotic small subunit ribosomal RNA
Source: RNAcentral